GAGUUUGAUCAUGGCUCAGAACGAACGCUGGCGGCGUGCUUAACACAUGCAAGUCGAACGCGAAAGGGACUUCGGUCCUGAGUAAAGUGGCGCACGGGUGAGUAACGCGUGGAUAAUCUACCCAAUGAUCUGGGAUAACAUCUCGAAAGGGGUGCUAAUACCGGAUAAGACCACAAAGUCUUAGGACUUUGCGGUAAAAGGUGGGGACCUUCGGGCCUACCGUCAUCGGAUGAGUCCGCGUACCAUUAGCUAGUUGGUGGGGUAAUGGCCUACCAAGGCUACGAUGGUUAGCUGGUCUGAGAGGAUGAUCAGCCACACUGGAACUGAGACACGGUCCAGACUCCUACGGGAGGCAGCAGUGGGGAAUUUUGCGCAAUGGGGGAAACCCUGACGCAGCAACGCCGCGUGAGUGAUGAAGGCUUUCGGGUCGUAAAGCUCUGUCAGAGGGGAAGAAAUGCAUGGAUGCUAAUAUCAUCUUUGCUUGACGGUACCCUCAAAGGAAGCACCGGCUAACUCCGUGCCAGCAGCCGCGGUAAUACGGAGGGUGCAAACGUUGCUCGGAAUCAUUGGGCGUAAAGCGCACGUAGGCGGCGUGAUAAGUUGGGUGUGAAAGCCCUGGGCUCAACCC
RNAcentral lists this ribosomal RNA (628 nucleotides) under uncultured delta proteobacterium. RNAcentral's name for it is "bacterial SSU rRNA". It matches the Rfam family "Bacterial small subunit ribosomal RNA", at positions 9 to 615 of the family's 1533-position model. Lineage: Bacteria; Deltaproteobacteria. The record is from RNAcentral.